AGUGAACGCUGGCGGUAGGCCUAACACAUGCAAGUCGAACGGCAGCACAGUAAGAGCUUGCUCUUACGGGUGGCGAGUGGCGGACGGGUGAGGAAUACAUCGGAAUCUACUUUUUCGUGGGGGAUAACGUAGGGAAACUUACGCUAAUACCGCAUACGACCUCCGGGUGAAAGCAGGGGAUCUUGGGACCUUGCGCGAUUGAAUGAGCCGAUGUCGGAUUAGCUAGUUGGUGGGGUAAAGGCCCACCAAGGCGACGAUCCGUAGCUGGUCUGAGAGAGUGAUCAGCCACACUGGAACUGAGACACGGUCCAGACUCCUACGGGAGGCAGCAGUGGGGAAUAUUGGACAAUGGGCGCAAGCCUGAUCCAGCCAUACCGCGUGAGUGAAGAAGGCCUUCGGAUUGUAAAGCCCUUUUGUUGGGAAAGAAGAGCAGCAGGUUAAUACCCCGCUGUUCUGACGGUACCCAAAGAAUAAGCACCGGCUAACUUCGUG
RNAcentral lists this ribosomal RNA (492 nucleotides) under uncultured bacterium. RNAcentral's name for it is "partial 16S ribosomal RNA". It matches the Rfam family "Bacterial small subunit ribosomal RNA", at positions 29 to 507 of the family's 1533-position model. The record is from RNAcentral.